RNAcentral lists this unclassified non-coding RNA (344 nucleotides) under Hevea brasiliensis (rubber tree). Lineage: Eukaryota; Viridiplantae; Streptophyta; Magnoliopsida; Malpighiales; Euphorbiaceae. The record is from RNAcentral.
GUUCCCAUCUUCAGCAAGGACAACUAUUGCACAAGCCUUAGAGACAGACACCUUUUUCAGGUCAGCCAAAAUCAAGGGGCUUCCACUUCUGCAUAUGACAGAAGUUCCUCCAAAAUCAAACUCCAUUUUAGCAAUAUCAAGUUCCAUCUCUUCUUUAUCCCGCUCAGCCAACUACAACAGUUCCUCGCCCCAAACACUCAUUAGCUAUCGCAAGCUGAUUCAAUAAUGAUCCCAGUUUAUCACUCCAACCAAGUAUAAGUGUGUGGUUCUGCUCAACUACUUCACUUCUUCCCUUCCUAAGUGAGUCAAACUUCUCAGAGAUUGCAUCAGAAACUACUCCGAGC